RNAcentral lists this unclassified non-coding RNA (1564 nucleotides) under Hevea brasiliensis (rubber tree). The record is from RNAcentral. Lineage: Eukaryota; Viridiplantae; Streptophyta; Magnoliopsida; Malpighiales; Euphorbiaceae.
CCCAGCUUUUGUAAAAGGAUGCUGUAAAGAUUAGAGUGCUACAAUUAUAAAAUUCUACUCGUCUGCCUAAGGAAUCAGGACAACUAAUGCUGGACGUAAUGAUUGUAUCGAAACCUUAUAAUGAAUGUCCUGAUGUUCCAACUCAUUUUUCUUCGGAAUUAAUACAUAAGCCGCUGUUGAGAGAACACCCUCUCAUAUUCAUCAUGUAUAUGUAUGUAUUCUAUGCAUACGACUGUAUAAUGGGUGUGGGGGAUCCUUUGCUGCCCCAAUUAACAUUUUCAAGUGGGUCAGUUGACAGUUAAGAUUGCUAUUAGAAAAGGUGUGGCUAUUGCAGAUCAGGUGGACGUAGCUAAUAGUGCUGAGGCAUCAAAGGGACCAACUACUCCCUCGCUCAAAAGGCGCAUGGCAGCUCCCCGAGAGAACUUCCUUGCAAAUAAAAAACAGGGAACAGAUGUUGCGUAACUGCGACACCACUCUGUCCGGUACUCACUCUCAUAAUAUACGUGGUUGAUGUCCUUUAUUUCCCUUAUCUUUUGAGGGCCUGCGUUUGCAUAGGUGAAUGUGAUGGGAUGCCAACCUUUACUCUCCAUUUUUGUUGCAGAUUGAUUCCAUACAGUAUAGGUCAAGGUUCUUCUUUCAAGUUCACCUUCUAGAUCAGCCAUCGAAAGCAAUGUCUGCACAUAGUGUUCGUCAGGAAUACAAUUAUUCUGCUUUUUAAGUUUUGGAUUCAGCUUUCCCUUGCUGGCAUCUGGAGGUGGCGCCCGCUUGCAAUGCUUCUGAAAGACUGGAAAUAUAACCUCAUCAUCUACAAUGACUUCCGCAUGGCUUCUGACUAAGGUGAUCCACUGGGAUCCUUUUCUCCAUUUGUGUUUUCUUAUGAUGGGCGACAUCUUCUGGUUGUAGCGCUCUUCUUUUGUAUCAACAAAGCUGUCAACAAAACUCCUAGGAGAAGCCAUCAAGUAGCUGUAUAUGUAGCUAAAGUUGUACAGGGGGACGCAGCUGUCUGAGAGAAGAACAAAUCUUUGAUUUGCCGGAUCAUCUAAGGCAGCUGAGAGUAAAAACCUCUCUGCUUCGAUCAUACUCGACUCUCCCCAUACUACCUGGAUGCUAUUCUUCAAUUGCCGACCGUAGAAAAAAUGUGACCGAGUCGUGGACUCGUCGAACUCAAACCCCGGUGCCGAGUGUAUAAAAAUUGAGAAAUUUGCCACUUCAGCAUUCUCGAAGAAGCUGCCCCAGAGAAAAUCAAGAGGAAGCUCUUUGCGAACGAGGAAAAGGAAGGCUAUCUUAGGAGGGCCGACGAAGUGGAAGCUACCGCGAGAAAUUCGAGAUCUCGAGCCAUAAAUGGAAGAAACAGGGGACGAGAAAUCGGAAUUGAAGUGAAGUCUAAGAAUAGCGAAGACAGAGAGGGAGACGGAAAGGAUGAUAACAAGUUUCCAACCGAACCAGAUAACGUGGGGUGUUGGUACCGUGGAGGCCUUCUUUGACAUCGUUCUUCAUUGAAGGAGAUGAAAUUGAUGGUUAGAGCCCAUAACAUGGAAAGAGAAAGCUGUAUAAUGCUAAUCCG